RNAcentral lists this ribosomal RNA (254 nucleotides) under uncultured bacterium. RNAcentral's name for it is "partial 16S ribosomal RNA". It matches the Rfam family "Bacterial small subunit ribosomal RNA", at positions 524 to 776 of the family's 1533-position model. The record is from RNAcentral.
UACGGGGGGAGCAAGCGUUGUUCGGAUUUACUGGGCGUAAAGGGCGCGUAGGCGGUCAGCACAAGUCAGUUGUGAAAUCUCCGGGCUUAACUCGGAAAGGUCGACUGAUACUGUGCGACUAGAGUGCGGAAGGGGCAACUGGAAUUCUCGGUGUAGCGGUGAAAUGCGUAGAUAUCGAGAGGAACACCUGCGGCGAAGGCGGGUUGCUGGGCCGACACUGACGCUGAUGCGCGAAAGCCAGGGGAGCGAACGGG